Molecule: ribosomal RNA, 403 nt
Filed under: uncultured bacterium
Lineage: Bacteria
Description: partial 16S ribosomal RNA
Rfam family: Bacterial small subunit ribosomal RNA
Source: RNAcentral
AACGAACGCUGGCGGCGUGCCUAAUACAUGCAAGUCGAACGCAGUGGGGACGGGUGAGUAACAUGUGGGUAACCUCCCAUCAGAGGGGAUAACACUUGGAAACAGGUGCUAAACCGAUACUGAUGGAUGGACCCGCGUGUCAUUAGCUAGUUGGUGAGGGAACGGCUCCCCAAGGCCACGAUGCAUAGCUGACCUGAGAGGGUGAUCGGCCACACGGGGACUGAGACACGGCCCAGACUCCGACGGGAGGCAGCAGUAGGGAAUCUUCGGCAAUGGGCGAAAGCCUGACCGAGCAAUGCCGCGUGAGUGAAGAAGGUCUUCGGAUCGUAAAGCUCUGUCGUUAGAGAAGCGGUAUCUACCAAGAAAGCAACGGCUAACUACGUGCCAGCAGCCGCGGUAAUUC